Non-coding RNA from Podarcis lilfordi (Lilford's wall lizard), 96 nucleotides. NCBI's taxonomy places the organism in Eukaryota, Metazoa, Chordata, Lepidosauria, Squamata, Lacertidae. The record is from the annotation of a GenBank genome assembly.
CCUCCAGCUGUUUUCGGACUACAAUUCCCAUCAUCCCUGACCACCGGUCCUGUUAGCUGGGGUUGAUGGGAGUUGUAGUCCCAAAACAGCUGGAGG